Loxodonta africana (African savanna elephant) is the source of this 5006-nucleotide long non-coding RNA. RefSeq lists it as uncharacterized. Lineage: Eukaryota; Metazoa; Chordata; Mammalia; Proboscidea; Elephantidae. The transcript has 4 exons. The record is from RefSeq and is a predicted model, not a curated record.
CAAGCGGGACCGGCAGCCAAUCGCCGGAAGGCUGGAGCUGGGCUAGGUAGACCCGGCCGUAGGCGGCCCGCGGUCUCCGGCCGCCCCGGCUCUCUGGCGCUCGCUGUGGCGGAGGGACGAGCCGGCCCUCUGCAGAGCAUCCCUCCGAGAGACUCUGUAACCGGGGUGUGGGGCUCUUCAGGCGCAUCAGCAGGCCUUGGCCCACGUGGAUUUGGUGGUCUCAGGGAAACGUGUGUUCUUCGGGGACUCUCCUGCGGGGAGGGAGGGUCUUUGCAGCUACUGCAGAACUGGGCCGAGACUCUGCGAUUCCCUUUUCUAAAACCAAAAAACAAAAAAACCCAAACCCGUUGAUGUGCAGAUGAUUACUGACUGAUACCGACCCUAUAGGACAGAGAACUGCCCCCAGAAGGUUUUCGAGGGGCGGCCGCUGUUCACCCACCUUUUGGUUAGCAGCCGAGCUCUUAACCUUCGCGCCACCAGGGAUCCUUCCUAAAACCACAGAAUCAGACACAGCGUGUUCAGGGCCUGCCUUCUGCUAAACCGUAGGCGUAAAGAAAAGCAGAAAUAACAUCCUGUUUAUCAAGCUCACACCCAUGGCCCCUUCCAAACCUGGGACGACCAGCCCCCUUUCCUCAAGCUCAGGGCUCUUUCAUAGGUACACCGGGCUCAGCCUGGGGCGGUGAGCCUUCCCUGGGUGACAGACUCAAAACCUGGCAAACGAGUCGGUGGAAUAACAUUGAAAUAUAUAUUCUAAGUGCUUACUAUCUGCUAACUAAUUUAAUGGAUAGAAUGUCUUUUACUAUACCCACAUUAUAGGUGGGGAAACAGAUGUGUUGAGCAACUCGUUCGAAGGCACAAAGAAGCUAGCAAGUGAAGGACCUGGAAUUUGAAUCCAAGCAGCCUGAAGGCUUACUCUCUGUUACAUUGCUUCUACCCAGGAAACCCCUGGGUGGUGCAAAGGAUUGCUGCUCUCCACUGCUAACCACAGGGGUAGAGAUUCAAGUCAAUGCAGAGGUGCCUCGGAAAAAGGCCUAAUGAUCUACUUCUGAAAAAUCAACCACUGGAAGCCUUAUGGAGCACAGUUCUACUCUGACACACAGGAAGUCUCUGGCCGGUAGCAGCCUUGGCAUUGACAACCACUGACCUGAAACCAGAAAAAGAAAACAGAAGGAUCUCCCAGCAAGUAUUUCCUAUUUCAAUCACCUCAUAUGCAUGUGAAAGCUGGACUAUGAAUAAGGAAAACCGAAGAAAAUUGACGCCUUUGAAUUAUGGUGUUGGCGAAGAAUAUUGAAUAUACCAUGGACUGCCAGAAGAAUGAGCAAGUCUGUCCUGGAAGAAGUACAGCCAGAGUACUCCUUGAAAGCAAGGAUGGUGAGACCUCAUUUCAUAUAUUUUGGACAUGUUAUCAGGAGGGACCAGUCCCUGGAGAGGGACAUCAUGCUUGGUAAGGUAGUAGGUCAGCGAAAAAGAGGAAGACCCUGGAUGAGAUGGAUUGACAGAGUGGCUGCAACAAUGGGCUCAAACAUAGUAACAAUUGUGAGGAUGGUGCAGGACCAGGCAGUGUUUUGUUCUGUUGCACAUAGGGUUGGUGUGACUUGGAACUGACUCAAUGGCACCCAACAAUAACAACAUUUCCUAUAAAUUGGCUUCAUGAGAUUCAGGUGGAAUUUUCUGGGUAAGAAAACUUCAUACUUCCUAGUGAAUUACAUCAUAAGGCAUAUAAUGUCCAUUUGUCUGACACUUAGGGAUGCUCAGUUUCAUGAGUGUCUACAUGGUGUGUCCAUCUGAUUGUGAAGUUAGAAACCCUUCCACUGAAAGGCUUUAGCUUUUAUGUUCAUUGCCUACACCUGUUGAGUCGAUUCUGACUCAUAGUGACCCUAUAGGACAGAGGAGAACUGCCCCAUAAGGUUUCCAAGGCUGUAAUCUUUUACAGAGCUAAUGCCACAUCUUUCUCCUGCAGAGUGGUUGGUGGGCUUGAACAAACAACCUUUCGGUUAGCAGCCAAGUGCUUAACCACUGCACCAUUUUUUCAUUAGUACUUAUAAAACAGUGAUUAAAAAAGGUCUAUCAUUCCUUCUGCAUUUAUUAGUGGAACUUACAUAAUGAAGACCUUUCCCUCAUAAACUUAGUUACCCUGAAAGAACAUUCAUCCAGGAAAAGCAGGAUAGAGCCUUAUUUCUUUCCCUUUAUUUAUUAAAUUUCUGAGUAAUCCAAUCUCUAUUAAUAACAGAGCAGGUUUUGUAUUAUCAUAAAUUCAAGAAUUUUUAUAUGUUAGACAUCUCAUCAAAAGCCAUGUUUUUCUAAUUUUUUUUUUGUUUUUCAUUUAUUGUGCUUUAAGUGAAAGUUUACAAAUCAAGUCAGUCUCUCAUACAAAAACUUAUACACACCUUGUUAUGUACCCCUAGCUGCUCUCCCCCUAAUGAGACAGCACACUCCUCCUCUCCACCCUGUAUUACCCGUGACCAUUCAAUCAGCUCCUGUCCUCCUCUACCUUCUCAUCUUGCCUCUGGACAGGAGAAGAGCCAUGUUUUUAAAAUCGAUGCUGGAGACUGAAUCACGAUAUAUUACCAGCUACCUUCCUUCUGAAAUAGUGUUUCUCAGAGUAAGACCACAGACCAUAUAUAUGAGAAUCCCUUGGGGCAUUAGUUAAUAUGUAAAUUCAUGAACCCCGCUAGGAUUUAUUGGGUCAGAGUCUCUAGGAGCAGAGCGCUGGAAUCUGCGUUUCUAACAAACUCUUCUAAGGAUUUCUAGAACGGGGAAAUGGACAGCUUUGUGGAGGAGACCUCAUAGGAGCUUGGGAAUAAAGUACUAACAGGGUACAUACUGGAAGGUCCCUGGGUGGCGCAAAUGGCUUAUGCUUGAAAGGUUGGCAGUUCGAGCCUACCUAGUGGCCCCGCAGAAGAAAGGCCUGGAGAUCUGCUUCCAUAAAGAUUGCAGCUAAGAAAACACUAUGGAGCUUAGUUCUACUCUAUAACACAUGUGGUCACCCUGAGUUACAGUCAACUUGAUGGCAAUGAGUUUGGUUUUUUUGGGUACACACCUGAGCAGUUACUGCAAAAUAAGGUCACAGAUCAACCACGGAUGAUUCAGGAGAAGGCAGGAUAUGGACCCUUCUGGAAUGACCAGAUGAGAGUAGUGUUAUGCAGGGCUAGACUCCUUGCACAGCUAUAUCUUGGUUGAGACAAUCUGGGCUCUGACUGCCCAUUGUUAUUACAUCUCUGGGAAAAUUUUACCACACUAAAUCCUGUAGAAUAUGUUUCUAUAUGGCAUUUAGCUAAUUUCUCCUGUGGCUUCCCGUGGACGGAGGGUUAUUCACAUCCAUAGCCUCAGGUCCUGCACAGCUGCUCCCACUGGGCUCCAGAGACUCCCACCGCAUGAUUUGUGUCUUCUGUGAGGUAACAUUGUUCCUCACCCAUUAGGACCUGGACUACCAUUUGCAUCUGAAGUAUCAAUUAGCAUUGUUCUCGUAAUUCUAUUUUUGAGUUGCUCAUCUCCUCUAGGGAAUGCACUUUCAAUAUUUUAUUAAAGUCCCCUAAUGCUUGACAUUUUGAGCAAAACAUUCAUUUGGUUGGUUUUCCGUAAAGGUGACGAUCCAUUUUUGUAAUUUCAUUUGCCUUUAUUUAUUGAAUUUUAAAUAGCAUUGUUGAACGCACUGACUCAUAGGGAAGAAAAAUACAGAUGCUUAACAGAAGAACCAGACUUACAGAUCUCCUUGCAAAUAGAUAUUUUGCAGAUUAGAGAAAGCUAAACUACAUCUCUCUGCAUUUUUCUGCUCAAAUACUUGGGAGGAAGGGACGGGAAUCAGGUUUGUGGGGGCAUAAUGGGGAUUCCCAGAUUUCCUGUGUGAAUGCAGCUCCCCUGUAUGCCAGCGAAACACUGUCCUGCCAAUAUCCAGCCUGUAGAAAGGGCAUAGAAAAGGACAGGAUUGGACAAUCCAGCAAGGCCCUGCAGGGAACCGAAAUUACAUGCAGCCUGUUUUGAGAUUCUUCAAGCAGCUGCCAGUGCCCUGGCAUUGUUGCCCCCAGGCUGAAACUUGACCUUGAGACUAUUUGAUUGUAAACUCAAAUGCCUAUGGGGGCUAGGAAGGUAGCUAUAAAGGAAUGAAGAGGGUUGGAUGGGAGACAGCAGUGAAUUAGGGAGACAUAUCCCCACUGAAGGAAUCCUUGGGUGGUGCAAAUAGGUAAGUGCUUGACUACUAACCUAAAGGUUGCCAGUUCAAACCCACCCAGGGGUGCCUUAGAAGAAAGACCUGGUGAUCUGCGUCUUAGAGGCCACAGCCUUGAAAACCUUACGGAGUGAAGUUCUACUCUGCAGCACAUAGGGUCGCCAUGAGUCGGAAUUGACUUGGUAGCAACUUUUUUUUUUGUUUAAUUUCAUCGAAGGUGGCCACCACUACUCACUUCCUGGAUGCUACCGAGAAUGUGGGCCCUGAAUGGCUGGAGCUUUUGAUGUUUCAAGAGAUGCUAAUAAUCUGGAUUUUUAUGUGAAAUCUCAAGAUUUCAAACACUGGCUUUAAUUCAAAUGGUUUUUAAGCACGAUUUGGGGCUUGUGAUUUAGGGGAUCCAGUAUUUUAAAAUAAUACCACAAACGAAAUAUACGAGAACUCGUAUUUCCCAGAUCAAGAUGAGUCUAUAGCUGCUGUGCUGAUGCUGUUAGCAGAGACUCAAACCAUAAACCUUACAGGGACAAAUUAGCUUUAUUGUGGUCAGUAGCCAGAGGCUAGACUUUUGCCGUUGUGUGCUAUUUGUCACCUAGGAGCUCUGGAGAAAUGCAUAUGGAUUGGUACAGAGCCAUAACUCCAAGUCCAUUCCCUAUUGAUCGUGGGCCAGAUAUGACAUCUUCCUACAAGAAAGGUAUCGUAUUACUGAGCUAGCCCCGCUCCUAAGUCCUCAGAGAAAAAUAGAGCUGAGUACAUGUAUUGCUUUAUAAAACUCUAAGCCUUGACUUGCUGCCAAAGAAGGUAGUGAGAAUCUAUACAGACAGCUUUUGUCUUUGUGAAGAGUGGU